GACGCGGUGGCCUAAUGGUUAGCGCGCUCGACUCCAUUCCGAGCGGUCCGGGUUUGAGCCCUGGCCGAGAUGACU
Molecule: transfer RNA, 75 nt
Filed under: Desmophyllum pertusum
Lineage: Eukaryota; Metazoa; Cnidaria; Anthozoa; Scleractinia; Caryophylliidae
Description: tRNA-Trp
Source: RNAcentral